GUGGCUCAGUGGUAGAGCACUUGCCUUGCAUGCAUGAGGUCCUGGGUUCGAUUCCUCAGC
Dipodomys ordii (Ord's kangaroo rat) is the source of this 60-nucleotide non-coding RNA. NCBI's taxonomy places the organism in Eukaryota, Metazoa, Chordata, Mammalia, Rodentia, Heteromyidae. The record is from Rfam.